Papilio polytes (common Mormon) is the source of this 1034-nucleotide long non-coding RNA. RefSeq lists it as uncharacterized. The record is from RefSeq and is a predicted model, not a curated record. The transcript has 3 exons. Lineage: Eukaryota; Metazoa; Arthropoda; Insecta; Lepidoptera; Papilionidae.
AACACAAAUAAAGUAAUCCAGUUUGAUACAGGUACAGAUUUCAAUCAAACGUCUCAAUUGGUAUCAAUCGAUAGCUUCACGCUGCGUGAAGACGGUCAGCCGGCGAGCGGGACGGACAGACAGACAGACGCGAAUACACGCAGAUGUUAUCUGACCUAAGAAACCACAAUACAACGCUGUCAGACUUGGCGGGAAUCCACCGCGCUAGUGAUGGUCAAAGGAAAUCGCUGCAAAGUUGUAUAACCUGUGAAGUUUUGAGACGUAGAAGUAGUGAGGGGUGCGAGGGGGGACCUGCUUCAAGGCUCAGUUUGUCUACGGCGCGUUGAGCAGUGGGCCGGCGCCGGCGACGAUGAUUCGGCAGAAUUGUAGGCGAGGCGCCGGCCCGGCGACCGCCCGCCUCAUUACCGCUCGCUAAUGCUGCCAACACAGGCCCCGCGCACCCCGCACCCCGCACCCCGCACCGCUGCACCACGGAAUUUCGACAGCUUCAAUCUUUCGCUUAAUAGCCUACUUAAUCCUUCUCGGGAAUCCGGUGAGGCGCCUCGUAAUUGACAUGUCGCGGCGGCCGGAGCGGCGCCCGCGUCACGCGCCCUGUCACACAUCGCACUGGGCCGCGGCACAACUGUCAUGUCACGUCAACUUGUCAUAUCUGUAAUUAUAAAAUAAAAAACACACUUAGACAAUGUCAUUCUAAUAUCAAUUAAAUUAUUUUUUGGCUCCAGCUUCAGACAGAGCAUAAUUAUAACCUUUGCAAGUUGAAUACCAGUGUUAGGAAAUAUUUUCCUAAUAAUAACAAAUAUAAAACAAGUUCAAAGGCAGGUCGCAGGUCGCAGGUCGCAGCAGCGCGAGGUGCGUGCGCGUCGCCGCCAUGAUGGAUGACCGGCGCCGAUUAAUCACUUUUAUUGUGCAACACGAAAAUAAUAAUAUUAAAUAUGUCUCACUGGAGGGGCGAGAGCGAGACUCGCAUUUUCAUGUUUGUGCUUUACCCAAUUAAACAUCAUUAGACCAACAAUAAUUAAUAUAAUAAUAGUUAA